GGCUCAGGACGAACGCUGGCGGCGUGCCUAAUACAUGCAAGUCGAGCGAAUCAAUAGGAGCUUGCUCUUGUUGGUUAGCGGCGGACGGGUGAGUAACACGUGGGCAACCUGCCUGUAAGACUGGGAUAACACCGGGAAACCGGUGCUAAUACCGGAUAAUUCUUUCUCUCUCAUGAGGGAAAGUUGAAAGUCGGUUUCGGCUGACACUUACAGAUGGGCCCGCGGCGCAUUAGCUAGUUGGUGAGGUAACGGCUCACCAAGGCGACGAUGCGUAGCCGACCUGAGAGGGUGAUCGGCCACACUGGGACUGAGACACGGCCCAGACUCCUACGGGAGGCAGCAGUAGGGAAUCUUCCACAAUGGACGAAAGUCUGAUGGAGCAACGCCGCGUGAGCGAUGAAGGCCUUCGGGUCGUAAAGCUCUGUUGUUAGGGAAGAACAAGUACCGGAGUAACUGCCGGUACCUUGACGGUACCUAACCAGAAAGCCACGGCUAACUACGUGCCAGCAGCCGCGGUAAUACGUAGGUGGCAAGCGUUGUCCGGAAUUAUUGGGCGUAAAGCGCGCGCAGGCGGUCCUUUAAGUCUGAUGUGAAAGCCCACGGCUCAACCGUGGAGGGUCAUUGGAAACUGGGGGACUUGAGUGCAGAAGAGGAAAGCGGAAUUCCACGUGUAGCGGUGAAAUGCGUAGAGAUGUGGAGGAACACCAGUGGCGAAGGCGGCUUUCUGGUCUGUAACUGACGCUGAGGCGCGAAAGCGUGGGGAGCAAACAGGAUUAGAUACCCUGGUAGUCCACGCCGUAAACGAUGAGUGCUAAGUGUUAGAGGGUUUCCGCCCUUUAGUGCUGCAGCUAACGCAUUAAGCACUCCGCCUGGGGGAGUACGGCCGCAAGGCUGAAACUCAAA
RNAcentral lists this ribosomal RNA (903 nucleotides) under uncultured bacterium. RNAcentral describes it as "bacterial SSU rRNA". It matches the Rfam family "Bacterial small subunit ribosomal RNA", at positions 21 to 905 of the family's 1533-position model. The record is from RNAcentral.